Molecule: non-coding RNA, 875 nt
Filed under: Pongo abelii (Sumatran orangutan)
Lineage: Eukaryota; Metazoa; Chordata; Mammalia; Primates; Hominidae
Source: RNAcentral
GAUAUGGGAUUUCACUACUGUUGCCCAGGCUAAAGUGUAAUGGUGCAAUCUCGGCUCACUGCAGCCUCCACCACCCGGGUUCAAGCAAUUCUCCUGCCUCAGCCUCUCGAGUAGCUGAGAUUACAGGCAUGCACCACCACACCUGGCUAAUUUUGUAUUUUUAUUAGAGACGGGGUUUCUCCAUGCUGGUCAGGCUGGCCUCAGGUGACCCACCUGCCUCGGCCUCCCAAAGUGCUGGGAUUACAGGCAUGAGCCACACCCGGCCUAAAAAUCAUUUAAUUUUUUAUGCUUGCCUAGUUAUAAGGUCAAAAAUAAUCAAAUGACUGAUGCAGUCAGCACCUAACAACCUCUGUAUAUGGAAAGGGGGUAAUGAGAACAUACUAUUUGGAAAUAAUAACUUAGCCUAAGAGCCAGGUGCUGAAGUUACAUUUCUGCCUACCACAGCUAAAGCUCUCCUUACUGUCUCCUACCCAGUUCUACUUUCCAUCAAUUACCAAUCUCUUGUAUAAAUGUAUCCAUUACCAGGCUCACAGACUGGGAGUGAUUUUUCUCCUUUGGAGCUCGUCCAGAAUCCAUCAGCCUCACACACAUAUUUACCUGCAAAUCAUUGGAAAAGCAAAAAUGUUUAACUGCAUGUAUAAGAUGGUUGUCAUUUGCUUGAAUACCCCCUUGAAAAAUGUUGAUUCUUGAGCAUCCAUGGGAAAUAGAGGUGUCUGAAGAACCAUUUUACAUGAUUUCAUAAAUAGGAGGUCUCUGCAUUACCAUGUUUGCUUGCAAAGUGGAAACCUUUUAGAUGUGUAACUUGAAUAUGUAUCAAGAUCUCAAGUGCUUAAUGAUAAGGUUUUGACUUGUUAAAUUAAACCAUUUGGAAUAUA